UACGUAGGCAGCGAGCGUUGUUCGGAAUUACUGGGCGUAAAGAGUGUGUAGGCGGUGCUCCCAGUCUGUUGUGAAAUCUCCCGGCUUAACUGGGAGGGUGCAGCGGAAACUAGAGUGCUAGAGGGUGGGAGAGGUAAGCGGAAUUCCUGGUGUAGCGGUGAAAUGCGUAGAUAUCAGGAGGAACACCGGUGGCGAAGGCGGGUCUCUGGGCAGUAACUGACGCUGAGGAGCGAAAGCGUGGGGAGCGAACAGG
RNAcentral lists this ribosomal RNA (253 nucleotides) under uncultured bacterium. RNAcentral's name for it is "partial 16S ribosomal RNA". It matches the Rfam family "Bacterial small subunit ribosomal RNA", at positions 524 to 776 of the family's 1533-position model. The record is from RNAcentral.